GAAAGAAUAAGCAAAGUCUAGUCAGAAGUAGCGGUAGUCAACAACACUGUCCAUAACCUGUCGGUGUUUUAGACCGGCAACCCACCUAGGGGGUACCCUAGGUGGUCGUUUAUGCGGUAAGGGUCGUCGAAAAUCAAGGAAUCAAUGGUGAUGCAAGGAACACGAUUUAGACAGGUUCGGGCCGCUAGAUUGCGUAAUACCCUACGUCCUGUGUGUUGGUUUGUAUUGAUGUAUGUUCGGGUCUUGAGAUGUUAUGUUGAGGGGGGUCCCUGCCCGGCCUUAUAUACACGGGAGGGCAGAGUUACAAGUCUGAGUCCUAGUCGGGUACUAUUACAGAGCUCUACUCGGUAUUGGCCCGAGUAGUUUUCCAUAAAUGUACAAGACUAAUCCGAGAAGGAUACGCCCAUCCUUGUUCUGAUCUUAUCCGAGUACGUCCCUUGGUGGGCCGUCCAAGGCCUACUCGUGGACCUGGGGUGUAUGCCCGACAAGCCCCCGAGUACUUUGUAGUCGUACGCCACAGUUUUGGGCACUGCAGGCACUAUCCGAGUAGAUUUAGUCGUAGAGUUUGUAGGCUAAAGUGCUCGAGUACUGUCGCGUGGCUGGAAGGUACUCUUUUUGCUCCUUCGAGUUGUUUCCGUCCCGCGUAAUUUUAUAUGGCAGUGCGAUGUCAAUCGCACUCUAUAUGGAGUAGCCCCCGAGCCUUAGGUUGAGUCGAAGAGUCAGGCUUAGGGUCCAGCCAGCCAGGUUUGGAAACUAGCAUCGGUGUAACCUGUUACAACGAGCUCCUCCUCACCUCCAUAGACGAGGAACAUAUCUUUAGUCCUUCUCAAGUACUUAAGAAUGUUUUUCACCGCUGUCCAGUGACUCUCACCUGGAUCAGAUUGGUGUCUGCUUGUCAUACUUAGCGCAUAUGAAACAUCUGGGCGAGUACUUAUCAUUGCAUACAUGAUAGAUCCAAUAGCCGAGGCAUAUGGCACUUUACUCAUGCGAUCCCUCUCAUCAGCAGUCGAAGGACACUGAGUCUUGCUGAGAUGUAUGCCAUGUGACAUAGGCAAGAACCCUUUCUUUGCCUCUUCCAUGCUGAACCACUUCAACACUUUGUCAAUGUAAGUAUCUUGGCUUAAACCUAUAAGCCUUCUCGAUCUAUCUCUAUAGAUCUUAAUGCCCAGAAUAUAUGCCGCUUCCCCUAAGUCCUUCAUCAAAAAACUAUUUUUCAGUGAAGUCUUUACGGACUCAAGCAUAGGAAUGUUAUUUUCAAUCAGUAAUAUGUCAUCCACAUAUAAGAUUAGAAAUACUACAGAGCUCCCACUAACCUUCUUGUAAACACAAGACUCUUCUUCCUUCUUGGUGAAGUCAAACCCUUUGACCACUUCAUCAAAACGAAUGUUCCAACUCCUAGAUGCUUGCUUCAAUCCAUAAAUGGAUCUCUGAAGCUUGCAUACCUUUCCAGCAUUUUUCGGAUCGACAAAACCCUCGGGCUGUAUCAUAUACACGUCCUCAGCUAGGUUUCCAUUCUGGAAAGUUGUCUUGACAUCCAUCUACCAUAUCUCAUAAUCGAAAUAUGCAGCUAUAGCUAGAAUAAUCCGAAUGAACUUAAGCAUCACUACGGGCGAGAAGGUCUCAUCGUAGUCAACUCCUUGAACUUGUCGAAAACCUUUUGUGACAAGUCAUGCUUUAUAGAUGUGAACAUUUCCAUCCAUGUCCUUUUUCUUCUUAUAGAUCCACUUGCACUCUAUGGCUUUAACACCAUCAGGCGGGUCAACCAAGUUCCAAACUUGAUUGUCUCCCAUGGACUCUAUUUCGGAUUGCAUGGCACUCUGCCAUUUUUCGGAGUCUGGGUCCAUCAUUUCUUCUGCAUAUGUCGCAGGCUCAUCAUUGUCCAACAAUAAUAUUUCCCGCAUUUCACGGAGCCUUGCCGACCUUCGUGGUUGUGGCGGUGCUUCUCUUGCCAUGGGUAUCUCAACUUGUUCUGCUACGUUAGCAUCACUCAUUGAUUCUUGCCCGAUCGGCUCAUCUUGAACUUAUUCAAGAUGCACUGUCUUUCCACUCUUUUCUCCUUUGAGAAACUCUUUCUCUAGGAAAACCCCGUUCUGAGCGACAAACACUUUGCCUUCUGAUCGGUUGUAGAAAUAAUAUCCCAAAGUUUUCUUUGGAUAUCCCACAAAAAUGCACUUAUCCAACUUGGGUGUGAUCUUGUCCGAUUGAAGUCACUUGACAAACACUUCACAUCCCCAAAUCUUUAGAAAAGACAAACUAGGAACCUUUCCAGUCCAUAUCUCAUAUGGUGUCUUAACUACGGAUUUAGAUGAUACCCUAUUAAGUGUGAAAGCCGCUAUUUCUAGAGCGUAUCCCCAAAAUGACAACGGUAGGUCCGACUGGCUCAUCAUUGAUCGAACCAUGUCUAACAAAGUUCGAUUACGUCGCUCGGAUACACCGUUUCUCUGAGGUGUUCCAGGCGGCGUAAGUUGUGGAACAAUUCCGCAACUCUUUAGAUGAUUGCUAAACUCAUGGCUCAAAUACUCGCCUCCACGAUCAGAUCGUAAGGCUUUAAUUUUCUUGCCACACUGAUUUUCAACUUCAUUCUGAAAUUCCUUGAACUUUUCAAAGGUUUCAGACUUGUGCCUCAUCAAGUAGACAUAGCCAUAUCUACUAAAAUCAUCAGUGAAAGUUAUGAAGUAUUGGAAUCCUCCUCUAGCCGUCGUGCUCAUUGGUCCGCAUACAUCACUAUGUACGAGUUCCAACAAGUCUACUGCUCUCUCAGAAAAUCCUGUGUAAGACGUCUUGGUCAUCUUGCCUAGCAAGCAAGCCUCACAUGUCUCGUAUGAUUCAAAAUCAAACGAAGUUAGAAGUCCAUCAGAAUGGAGCUUCUUCAUGCGCUUUUCACUUAUAUGACCCAAACGACAAUGCCACAAGUAGGUAGGACUCAAAUCAUUAGGCCGAGGCCUUUUAGCACUUACGUUACAGACAGAUGAACCAUCAAGAUUUAAAACAAAUAAUCCAUUCACAAUGGGUGCAAAAGUCAUAAACAUAUCAUUCUUAGAGAUCACACAACCAUUGUUUUCACUCGCAAAUGAAUAACCAUCCUUCAUCAAGCAUGAAGGAGACAAAAUGUUUCGACUUAAACUAGGAACGAAAUAACAAAUAUUCAACUCCAUAAUAAAUCCUGACGGGAGGUGGAGUUGCAUCAUCCCAAUAGUCAACGCAGCAACUCUUGCAUUAUUGCCCACGUGGAAAUCAACUUCUCCUCUUUCCACGCUUCUACUUCUUAUCAUUCCCUGCAUCGAAUUGAAAAUAUGAGCAACCGAUCCGGUAUCAAAUACCUAAGAAUUAAUAAUUAUAUCAGCGAGAAAAAUAUUGUCUAUAACAUUAACAACAAGCGUACCUGAGGUAGAAGUACUCUUACUUCCGCCAUUCUUCAACGAAGCUAGGUACUGCUUGCAGUUUCUUUUCCAGUGACCAAGUUUAUGACAUUAAAAGCACUCUUUGUUUGGAGCAGGUCCAGGUCCAGCUUUAACCUUGGGCGUUGGGUUUGGCUUGGACGUUCCAGCCUUGCCCUUCUUGUUCCAAGAAUUGCCCUUUUUCUUAAAGCUAGGCUUGUUCUGUAUAGCCAUCACAUGGCUGGUACUAGCGCUUUUCUUAAUGUCUACCUCUGCUGUCUUGAGCAUACCACACAGUUCAUUCAGACCCUUCUCCGUCCCAUGCAUAUGGUAGUUCGAGAUGAAAUUCCCAUAGCUAGGCGGAAGAGAUGAAAGAAUGAAGUCAGUGGCCAACUCUUUGCCCAUUGGGAAGCCCAGCUUCUCCAAUCGCUGAGUGUAACCAACCAUCUUGAUUACAUGUGGUCCUACUGCUGCGCCUUCUGCUAGCUUACACUCCAGAAAGGCUUUGGACACAUUGAACCUUUCAGUCCUAGCCUGUGUCUGGAACAUGUCUUUGAGCGCCACGAUCAUAUCGUGUGCCUUAUGAUUUGUUUCAAACUGCAUCUGCAGCUCGGGUUCCAUGCAAGCAAGCAUAAGGCAGUUUACCUCAAGAUUAGCAUCAAAUGCCUUCUUGUAAGCAGCCUUAACGGCAGCAGAUGCAUCAUCAGCAGGUACUGGUGGUAGUGGGGUGUCUAGAACAUCUUCCUUUUUAUCGGCCCUGAGAACAAUUCUCAGGUUACGGAUCCAAUCCGAGUAGUUUGUUCCAUUCAACUUGUCCUUCUCAAGGACCGAACGCAAAGCAAACAAUGUGGUGGUGUUGCUAGGUGCCAUUUAAUCUACAACAAAAGUAAUGCAAAAUACACUAAGAACAACGUAUCCAUGAUAGAGCAAAUCACAUUAAACUAUUUUAACAGAAUCUACUCCCACUAAAAUCAAUAUCCCUCCAUUGAAACUUAGUGAUUCAGGAUCCACAACUAACAAGUCUACUAGUGAGCUUUAGCAUCACCGCUAGCAAACAAGGUAGAUCGGUAAGCAACUUUUGCCAAUCAUAUCACAUAUGACUCCUGUUGUUGGGUGACAUCUCUAUGUCUCGGCGCCCAACCUUUAUGCCCCAAGGUGCUUAACCGUUAAGAUAACCUUGUUAAGCAAACCAACCCUUAUGCGUGUAAGUGUCCGACACAAACCCGUCUAGUCAAGGAAAACAAGUGGCACCCUAAUUUCAUAGACUCACCACUAAUUGUACAAGACAUGGGACGGUGCAAGUUUUAGUUGGGAGGGCAUACUAACUUAAAAUUUGUGAGGGAUCGUUCUACUUCUAACAUCACAACAUGCAGAAAGUAAAACAUAAACAGAAUAGCAUUCACACAGUUGUGACACAGUAUGACCCGUUUUUCUUAUGGUGAUCUCCAUCUCCAUAGAAUCUGUUCACCAUGGUGAUCUCCAUCUCCAUGUUCCAUGUGCGCCAUCCUCCUGGUGAUGAGUCCUCCAAGAACUAGAACAUGCUAUUACGCCUAAUAGCUAGUAAAGAAGCUAGUAAUGAAGAUUACAUAGUUGCUUGGAUCAUCACAGAUUGGUACGCAGACCAUUAAAUACAUUAAGGUGACAACACAUAUGCCUCCUGCCGUGUUGCCGUACGUGCGACACGCAGGUCACGAAUGAGUUACACACAUGCAUCACAUACACAAAGGGGCCAUACUGAUCACAAGAUACAUACAUCCUGCAAAACAGAGUUAAACGUCCUAACGUUCCAAACUUCGGAGGCCCGAAAUUCCAUCUUCCAAGCCGAAUUUGGGAAAUCUAAUUUCGCCAAAAAUGGCGAAGAUGUUGAAUUUCAUGUGUAACUUUUUCUGGAGAUCAAUUUUCAUAUAAAAUUCGCCCCGAUCCGAGAUCGUACCAAAAAGUUACGGCUGAUUUACCGAAGCAUACGCAUACGGUAAAAAUCCCGACCCCGGCAGUAGAUCUCAUCUACUAUUGCACAUCUAAUGCGCCUGGCGUAUGACCCUGGAUUUCGAUUCGACCAAUCAUAUUGAUCUUCACUCACUGCAACUGGAAUUACGUGUAUCACUUAACUCCGAUGGCGGAAACCGACCGGUAGGAGUAUGUCGUUACACUACCAUUGCAGCAAGAACACGAAACCAGGACAUAGAUCAAACUGAAAACUCGCAUAUCUCCAUAUGCACACAUCCCGAAUCCAAAACUAAACAGCUACGGCUCUGAUACCACUGUUAGGUUAUGAGGUAGGCUACACUAGCACAAAUCAAAAUUUCUACCACGUAAAACCAGGAAGAACUGCCGUAUAAGGAUCACGGGAUUACCACUCGACGCACUACUGGUGCGGAAUAUGUAGAUUUGCGUCGAUGCAGCGAAGAUGAUCAACGUAGUCGUACGUAGUCGAUCAACGUAGUCGUACGUAGUCGAUCACGUCAACGACCAGCAGCUCCUCAGCAGCUCGUCCACAUGCAGCAAGAUCGCACUCGUGCCGCGGCUCAUCGUCAGCUCGUCGUGGCUCGUCGUGGCUCGUCGGCGGCUCGUCCGAGUGCUGCAGGCGCAACACCUCUAAGGUAUCAACAUGUGCAGGGAGGAAGCGUCGCAAGCCGGACUGCUAGAUCCGCGAGUUGCAACAGGCGAGGGCGUGGGAGGCGCGGCAGAUGUGUUUUUGCCAAAAGGUGUAAACCCUAGGGCGCCCCCACCCCUCUAUUUAUAGAGGUUCCUGACGGGCCUCUGGGUCCGAGGCCCAUUAGUACUUCUAAACCUAAUCCAACUCGGAUCAGAUCCGAAUUGGGCUUCCAGCCCCUUAAGUGUGUGACCCUAUGGGUUCGGAUACGUAUAGACAUGGCCCGAGUACUCCUACUCGGCCCAAUAGUCGGUAGCGGCCUCUAGCAAGACGUGCCAACUCCUAUACGCACACGAAGAUCAUAUCAGACGAACCAUCACAACAUAAUAUACAUGCUAUUCCCUUUGCCUCACGAUAUUUGGUCUAGCUUCAAGCCGACCGCUCUUUCUCGAUCCUGUGAUUCGGAAUCCCUUUGUAGGUUAACUCUUAACCGUACGUAGCAUGGCCAUGCAUUUUCGGAUCCGAUCACUCGAGGGGCCCAGAGAUAUCACUCUCAAUCAGAGAGGGGCAAAUCUCAUCUUGAUUGGUCUCAUAGCAUGCUUCUUGACAAACCCGAAAGCUACCUUUAUAACUACCCUGUUACGGCGUAGCGUUUGAUAGCCCCUAAGUAGAUCGAUCCACAUCUUGAAUACAUGCGACAAUCUCAGGUCUAAGGACAAAGCGUAUAUGUUGUUUAAAGAGAGAACUACUUCUCGUGUUGGGUCAGUCCUAGCACAUGUCUCCACAUGUGUCCACAUUAUUAGUUCAACAUCUCCAUGUCCAUGACUUGUGAAACAUAGUCAUCAACUAAUACAUGUGCUAGUCUAAUAUUCAUGUGUGUCCUCACAUGAACUCCGACUAGGGACAACUUUAGAAUAACCAUACAAGUAAAGAGUUUCACAUACAAUUCACAUAAUUGCAAAUCAAUUCAAGUAGCCUUUAAUGGAUAUUCAAUGAACACAAUAUACAAAUCAUGGAUACAAAUGGAAUAUCAUCAUCUCUAUGAUUGCCUCUAGGGCAUACCUCCAACACGUACAACGUCCCACCCCGCAGUGUGGCCUCGCCACCGCAUCGAAGCUGGCCCCGCCUCACCGGGCCAUGCGCCGCCCUCCCCUCAAGCAGCCCCAUGCUCGUCCUGCCACCACACCAUUUGCCUGACGCCCAGCAACCUCACACAUGCACCGCCAGUGCCGCCUGCCUUCAUCCCUGCGUCAGCCGUGGCCUCGUGCAGCAUCGCCCACCGUGCUACCUCGCGCAUCGAGUUGCCAGCCACGACCCAACGCAGCACUGCUCGCCGUAUUGGCCCGCGUGUGCAGCUCGCUGUGGGCCCAUGGCCCAGCGUCGUCCCGUUGCCGUACCGCCUUGAUUCGUGCCAGACAAGCAAGGGCUAGUGAUGAUUCGAGCAGAGGGUGGUGGAGGAGUGCGGUCGGCAUCGAUUUGGGCAGAGCAUCUAAUCGAUUCAACUACAGCAUGAGGAGUGGGGUGGGGAGAGCAGCUGAAAUGAACCCAAAUUCCCAUUUCUGAGAAUUCAAGCCUACCCACCUCCGUGAUAGUCCCAGGAAGGCUAUCACGUUCGAAUCCCUGUCUCAGAUAGUACAAAUCCAUAUCAACACAGAAAUAUAAAGCAACAACAGAGUACAAUAGCAUAAAUAUCAUAAGUAUCGAGGACAUCUCUUCGGCAAUGCCGGUACAAGUCCAUCAGGACUAAAUCAAGAAAAGUAAAACAUCUACGCAACGGAAACACAAGCUAUGGCGAACUCCAUCUCCAGAGAUGACUCGAGCGGAGAGCCAUCCCUAGUCUUCCCAUCCGUCGUUGUCGAAGUCAUAGUCGGGCUCCGACCCUGAAAAGCCACCAUCUACCCGAGAAGCGGGUAGGUCUUGUCAACUCCCAAUAGCAGCAAGCUAAGGAAAUAGGGGAAUUAUACUAUAUACAUGAGUAAACCUAUAUAUGGCUAUAGGGGUUUAUGUAGCAGCAAUCAAGGAAGCAGCAAAGCAACACCAUCUCCGAGGUCAACACCUCAAUGAAAGAAGUCGACACAAAUCAUCGGAUCCUUCACCCAAGGAUCCAGCACCCAAACACACUAGGCGAUGUGAGGGCUCCCUCCCUUCACAUCUCAACGGCAAACACGGGCCUAUCUCAAAACGGGGAAGAAAGAAUAAGCAAAGUCUAGUUAGAAGUAGCGGUAGUCAACAACACUGUCCAUAACCUAUCGGUGUUUUAGACCGGCAACCCGCCUAGGGGGUACCCUAGGUGGUCUUUUAUGCGGUAAGGGUCGUCGAGAAUCAAGGAAUCAAUGGUGAUGCAAGGAACACGAUUUAGACAGGUUCGGGCCGCUAGAUUGCGUAAUACCCUACGUCCUGUGUGUUGGUUUGUAUUGAUGUAUGUUCGGGUCUUGAGAUGUUAUGUUGAGGGGGGUCCCUGCCCGGCCUUAUAUACACGGGAGGGCAGGGUUACAAGUCUGAGUCCUAGUCGGGUACUAUUACAGAGCUCUACUCGGUAUUGGCCCGAGUAGUUUUCCAUAAAUGUACAAGACUAAUCCGAGAAGGAUACGCCCAUCCUUGUUCUGAUCUUGUCCGAGUACGUCCCUUGGUGGGCCGUCCAAGGCCUACUCGUGGACCUGGGGUGUAUGCCCGACAAGCCCCCGAGUACUUUGUAGUCGUACGCCACAGUUUUGGGCACUGCAGGCACUAUCCGAGUAGAUUUAGUCGUAGAGUUUGCAGGCUAAAGUGCUCGAGUACUGUCGCAUGGCUGGAAGGUACUCUUUUUGCU
This 8779-nucleotide long non-coding RNA is filed under the name Setaria viridis. RNAcentral describes it as "long non-coding RNA (SVIR_LNC001826)". The record is from RNAcentral. Lineage: Eukaryota; Viridiplantae; Streptophyta; Magnoliopsida; Poales; Poaceae.